UAUGUUUUCAAGUUGAAUUGAAAGCCAAAACAUAUUUUAACUAUAUUUUAAACAAGUUGAAUUGAAAGCCAAAACAUAUUUUAACAUAUUUUAACCAUAACCAAAACAUAUUUUGACCAUAUCCCUUAUUAUUGAGGGAGGUAUUUCUUCCCUAGUGCUGUGGGGAUGACUUGGACAGAAACCACUGGACACUAUACAGAUGUAGACUGACAGUUUACUGGUCACCUGCACUAACAGCCUGAGAGAAAAGGACACUGCAUAUCACAGAGAGAUGCAUAGAUGUUACACUCAGAAAGAGAGUGAACAACUAGAAGAUGUGGAAGAAAAUUCCAAGGGCCAAUUUUGAAACAAACCAGGCAGAGACCCAGAUGCAGAAUCCUGCAGGCUGAGGGAUGUUAGGAAGAGUUAGCCCACCACUGCUGCGCUGAAACCAGGAUGACGCAAACUGGGCCUCAGGCCAGGAUCAACAUCUUGUCUAGACAGAGAAAUAUUGAUGGAGA
This 500-nucleotide long non-coding RNA is filed under the name Homo sapiens (human). Its description in RNAcentral is "HSALNT0008960". Lineage: Eukaryota; Metazoa; Chordata; Mammalia; Primates; Hominidae. The record is from RNAcentral.